UACGGAGGGUGCAAGCGUUAUCCGGAUUCACUGGGUUUAAAGGGAGCGUAGGUGGCUUUGUAAGUCAGUGGUGAAAUCUUAGAGCUUAACUCUAAAACUGCCAUUGAUACUGCUUAGCUUGAAUCACGUCGAGGUGGAUGGAAUAUUACAUGUAGCGGUGAAAUGCUUAGAUAUGUAAUAGAACACCGAUUGCGAAGGCAGUUCACUAGGCGUGUAUUGACACUGAGGCUCGAAAAGCGUGGGGAUCAAACAGG
Molecule: ribosomal RNA, 254 nt
Filed under: uncultured bacterium
Lineage: Bacteria
Description: partial 16S ribosomal RNA
Rfam family: Bacterial small subunit ribosomal RNA
Source: RNAcentral